RNAcentral lists this ribosomal RNA (398 nucleotides) under uncultured bacterium. RNAcentral describes it as "bacterial SSU rRNA". It matches the Rfam family "Bacterial small subunit ribosomal RNA", at positions 8 to 436 of the family's 1533-position model. The record is from RNAcentral.
AGAGUUUGAUCCUGGCUCAGAACGAACGCUGGCGGCACGCCUAACACAUGCAAGUCGAGCGCCCAGCAAUGGGAGCGGCGGACGGGUGAGGAACACGUGGGAACAUGCCUUUCGGUUCGGCACAACUGCGGGAAACUGCAGCUAAUUCCGGAUACGCCCUUACGGGGAAAGAUUUAUCGCCGAAAGAUUGGCCCGCGUCUGAUUAGCUAGUUGGUGAGGUAAUGGCUCACCAAGGCUUCGAUCAGUAGCUGGUUUGAGAGAACGACCAGCCACACUGGGACUGAGACACGGCCCAGACUCCUACGGGAGGCAGCAGUGGGGAAUCUUGGACAAUGGAGGAAACUCUGAUCCAGCGAUGCCGCGUGAGUGAUGAAGGCCUUCGGGUUGUAAAACUCUUU